CGUGGUAGGUAGCCUGACCAAUAUGUAAUGCAAGGAAACGGAUCACCUUUCUUGGAGGUUUUUCAGCAAGAUGUUCCAUCCCUACAUUGUGGAGAGGAGAAGAGUAAACCCGCGUUUGCAUCCUGAACCAUUAUUAUCAUCCAGAGCUUUUCUUUUUCUAAUUGCGAAUUUUACUAGGCACCGUCCUUAACAUAAAAGAACUAGCCCAGGCUUUGUUUCUUGCGUGCUCUGUACGAAAAAGCAAUUCACAUUAUCACUCGUUACUUCGAACAAA
Molecule: non-coding RNA, 274 nt
Organism: Dermacentor albipictus
Lineage: Eukaryota; Metazoa; Arthropoda; Arachnida; Ixodida; Ixodidae
Source: RefSeq, a predicted model, not a curated record